Molecule: unclassified non-coding RNA, 350 nt
Filed under: soil metagenome
Description: partial contains 5.8S ribosomal RNA, internal transcribed spacer 2, and large subunit ribosomal RNA
Rfam family: 5.8S ribosomal RNA (bases 1-120)
Source: RNAcentral
GAUGAAGAACGUAGCGAAAUGCGAUAAGUAAUGUGAAUUGUAGAAUUCAGUGAAUCAUCGAAUCUUUGAACGCACAUUGCGCCCAUUAGUAUUCUAGUGGGCAUGCCUGUUCGAGCGUCAUUUCAACCCUUAAGCCUAGCUUAGUGUUGGGAGACUGCCUAAUACGCAGCUCCUCAAAACCAGUGGCGGAGUCUGUUCGUGCUCUGAGCGUAGUAAUUUUUUAUCUCGCUUCUGCAAGCCGGCCAGACGACAGCCAUAAACCGCACCCUCUCGGGGGGCACUUUUUUAAUGGUUGACCUCGGAUCAGGUAGGAAUACCCGCUGAACUUAAGCAUAUCAAUAAGCGGAGGA